CAGUCGCCGCGGUAACACCGAGGGUGCGAGCGUUAAUCGGAUUUACUGGGCGUAAAGCGUGCGUAGGCGGCUUCUUAAGUCGGAUGUGAAAUCCCUGAGCUUAACUUAGGAAUUGCAUUCGAUACUGGGAAGCUAGAGUAUGGGAGAGGAUGGUAGAAUUCCAGGUGUAGCGGUGAAAUGCGUAGAGAUCUGGAGGAAUACCGAUGGCGAAGGCAGCCAUCUGGCCUAAUACUGACGCUGAGGUACGAAAGCAUGGGGAGCAAACAGGAUUAGAUACCCCAGUAGUCCCUGUCUCUUAUAC
Molecule: ribosomal RNA, 301 nt
Filed under: uncultured bacterium
Lineage: Bacteria
Description: partial 16S ribosomal RNA
Rfam family: Bacterial small subunit ribosomal RNA
Source: RNAcentral